This 397-nucleotide ribosomal RNA is filed under the name uncultured Endozoicomonas sp. RNAcentral's name for it is "bacterial SSU rRNA". It matches the Rfam family "Bacterial small subunit ribosomal RNA", at positions 9 to 400 of the family's 1533-position model. Lineage: Bacteria; Pseudomonadati; Pseudomonadota; Gammaproteobacteria; Oceanospirillales; Endozoicomonadaceae. The record is from RNAcentral.
GAGUUUGAUCGUGGCUCAGAUUGAACGCUGGCGGCAGGCCUAACACAUGCAAGUCGGAGCGGUAACAGGACUAGCUUGCUAGUUGCUGACGAGCGGCGGACGGGUGCGUAACACGUAGGAAUCUGCCCGGUAGUGGGGGAUAGCCCGGAGAAAUCCGGAUUAAUACCGCAUACGCCCUAAGGGGGAAAGAUGGCCUCUUCUUGAAAGCUAUCACUAUCGGAUGAGCCUGCGUCGGAUUAGCUAGUUGGUGAGGUAAAGGCUCACCAAGGCGACGAUCCGUAGCUGGUCUGAGAGGAUGAUCAGCCACACUGGGACUGAGACACGGCCCAGACGUCCUACGGGAGGCAGCAGUGGGGAAUAUUGCACAAAUGGCGCAAGCCUUGAUGCAGCCAUGCGC